This is a long non-coding RNA of Pollicipes pollicipes, 585 nucleotides long. RefSeq lists it as uncharacterized. Lineage: Eukaryota; Metazoa; Arthropoda; Thecostraca; Pollicipedomorpha; Pollicipedidae. The transcript is spliced from 4 exons. The record is from RefSeq and is a predicted model, not a curated record.
CAGACCGAAGCCGUCGCCGCCUGCCGAAGCGGACGAGUCGGACCCAGAGGAGCUUAAGCAGCUGCUGGCGCUCAUUCAACAGCUCGGCGGCCUGGACGCCGUGCAGAAGCUGCUAGACGGGGGCGGGGCUGACGCGGUGGGCCCAGGGCUGCUGUCGGCGAAGGACCGCCAGACGCUGGUUAAGGUUAUCGGUGGUCAGACCACCACCACCGCCCGGCCACGCUACUCUGCGAUCGCUCGCGAGCAGCCCACCGAUGGGACAACGCCCGGACCGUCGUCCGCAGACGAGGCGGAGGCUGAGCCUGAGAACAGCCGCCCCCGACUGUCCCUGUCGCGCCGCCCGCGGCCAGAGGUCACGCAAGACGGACCCGAGGGCACUGGGUCAGAGGCCGUCAGCAACACCCGCCGUCGGCCCCAGUACAGCAGCAUCCAGCGGAACAGGCAACCGCAGACAACGCCAGCUGACGACAGUGGCGAUGUGACGUCAUCCGGCAAGGGGCGGCGGCAGUACGUCACGCUGCGGCGUGGGCGGCCCUCGGCGACGGCUGAUGAGGACGGGCAGACCGCGGACGCUGACUUCGGCGG